RNAcentral lists this ribosomal RNA (440 nucleotides) under uncultured bacterium. RNAcentral's name for it is "partial 16S ribosomal RNA". It matches the Rfam family "Bacterial small subunit ribosomal RNA", at positions 338 to 795 of the family's 1533-position model. The record is from RNAcentral.
UCUACGGGGAGCAGCAGUAGGGAAUAUUGCUCAAUGGGGGAAACCCUGAAGCAGCAACGCCGCGUGGAGGAUGAAGGUUUUAUGAUUGUAAACUCCUUUUGUGAGAGAAGAUAAUUACGGUAUCUCACGAAUAAGCACCGGCUAACUCCGUACCAGCAGCCGCGGUAAUACGGGGGGUGCAAGCGUUACUCGGAAUCACUGGGCGUAAAGCGUGCGCAGGCGGGCUUGUAGGUCAGAUGUGAACUCCUGUGGCUUAACUACAGAACUGCCGUUGAAACUAUGUGUCUAGAGUGUGGGUGAGGUAGGUGGAAUUCGUGGUGUAGGGGUGAAAUCCGUAGAUAUCAAGAGGAAUACUCAUUGCGAAGGCGGCCUACUGGAACGUUACUGACGCUCAUGCACGAAAGCGUGGGUAGCAAACAGGAUUAGAUACCCCAGUAGUC